This 373-nucleotide ribosomal RNA is filed under the name uncultured organism. Its description in RNAcentral is "partial 16S ribosomal RNA". It matches the Rfam family "Bacterial small subunit ribosomal RNA", at positions 527 to 896 of the family's 1533-position model. The record is from RNAcentral.
GGAGGGUGCGAGCGUUGUUCGGAAUCACUGGGCGUAAAGCGCGUGUAGGCGGGCCCGUCAAGUCUGAUGUGAAAGCCCGGGGGCUCACCCCCGGAAGGGCAUUGGAAACUGGCGGACUAGAGUCUCGGAGAGGAGGGUGGAAUUCCUGGUGUAGCGGUGAAAUGCGUAGAUACCAGGAGGAACACCGGUGGCGAAGGCGGCCCUCUGGACGAUGACUGACGCUGAGACGCGAAAGCGUGGGGAGCAAACAGGAUUAGAUACCCUGGUAGUCCACGCCGUAAACGAUGAGCACUAGGUGUCGCGGGUAUUGACCCCUGCGGUGCCGCCGCUAACGCAUUAAGUGCUCCGCCUGGGGACUACGGCCGCAAGGCUA